Molecule: long non-coding RNA, 940 nt
Filed under: Nicotiana tabacum (common tobacco)
Lineage: Eukaryota; Viridiplantae; Streptophyta; Magnoliopsida; Solanales; Solanaceae
Description: long non-coding RNA (NTAB_LNC002072)
Source: RNAcentral
GAUUAAGGUGCGAAGAGGUGAGUUCAACUUGGUGAUUGAAAAGAUUGUGAUAAGGUAUGUUAAGGCUAAGCCUUCCUUCAUUUUGGCAUGAUCUCGUAGCUACAUGUGUUAGUAAUGAGACAAAAAGAGAAGUUCAUAUUCAUGAAUUUAUUCACACUAUUCUAGUCUCAUAAGUUACAAUAGUAUUCCUUAUCGAGACUCUAUAUUCAAUUUUAGUAUUGUCUUCUUCCAGUCAAGAGAGCAGCAAGCCUAUAUAUACAGUAUUACAGUAUUUUCAUUACCAUCGAGCUAUAAUCGAUGGGCAGGCCCCUAUUGGGCAACCUCUGAUCAGAUGGAAAGUUAUAUACCGAGCCUACUAUGGCCGAGCGCCUAUGAGCGAGCCCAGCAUGGCCGAGAUACAUAGCCUAGUAUGGCCGAGCGCCUAUGAGCGAGCCUACUAUGGCAGAGCAGUUAUAUAUAUACCGAGCCUUAUAAGGCCGUACAAUUAUUUUACUUACUAUAUUGAAGGAGUUGAGUCAGUAUCAGCAGGUAAGUAUAUCUCCAGAUCAUCUUUGACUCCCAGUUAAUUUCAGUUAUCAUAUUAUCAGUUCAGUUUCAGAUUUCAGUUAUUUUAUUGCCUUACAUACUCGGUACUUUAUUUCGUACUGACGUCCCUUUUUUUGGGGGCGCUGCAUUUCAUGCGUGCAGGUUCAGACAGACAGACGGGUAGACCUCCUCAGUAGGUGUUUUCCGAGUUCCGCCUGAUCGGUAAGCUCCACGUCUUUCGGAGUUGCCAGGACUAGAGUUUUGUGUACAUCUUAUGUAUAUCUGUAUAUAUGUUAUGGGUAGGUCGGGGCCCUGUUCCGAUCACAGUACAUCUAUUAGUAGAGGCUUGUAGGCAUAUCCUGUUGGUUAGUGCAUUAUGUUGGGUUUGUAUAAAUUGGUGGUUUGUCAGCUGUAG